Molecule: long non-coding RNA, 966 nt
Filed under: Zostera marina
Lineage: Eukaryota; Viridiplantae; Streptophyta; Magnoliopsida; Alismatales; Zosteraceae
Description: long non-coding RNA (ZMAR_LNC000984)
Source: RNAcentral
UAUAUGUUAGGAUUUGGCUUCUCAAGAUCAUAAAAUCCUCAUUAAGCCCUAGAAGGAAUUGGUGAGUCAUAUCCUUCUCUAUUUUCUUAUUGUAAAUUGGUACACAUGAUGUGCAAAAUUUAUAUUCAGGCUUUUCAAUUUCUAUGUAUUGAUCCCACAAACAUUUGAAUUUAUCGAAAUAAAUGGAAACAGAAUCACUUGCCUGAGUUAAGGUAUUAAUCUCAUACCUUAAUUGGCUGGCUUUAGGGGCAUUCUUCUAUUUGUAUCUUUCUUGAAGCUCUGCCCAAGUUUCAUACGCAGUCUCUUUGUGAAUCAGAGUGGAAGCAAUUUGAGAGCUUACUCCAUUAAUGAUCCAUGAGAGUACCAACCCAUUAACUCCCAAUCUUCAAAUUUAGUCCCUGUUUCAUCAAUUGGUUUAUUUAUUUAUUUUUCCAUUAAUAAAAGCAGUCUUUUUUCUUAAGACUAAAGAAAGCUUCAUGGAAUUUGCCCAAGCAACAUAAUUGGCCUCCCCUUUGAGCUUGUCAACGACCAUUUAGGCACCUGGAUGAUCUUCAGCAGUGACGAAAUAAGGAGAUUUUCUUGAAACUUCUUUCUUUGCAGUAUGAGAUUCCUUUUCAGCAACCACCUUCUUUUUAUUUACAGAUUUCUUGGCUUUCUUUCUUGAAGCCCUAAAAAAUCUUCUUUUGCCUUCAGAACUAGAAGAAUUCGAAGAAGUGUAUUGAUUGUAGGUGUUUCUUGAUGAUGAUUGCGAAUCUUCAGAAUCUCCAAAGUUGUGCAUUGCGGAAUUAAAGUCGACAUUGACAUCGUGACCUACUGAAACCAUAUUAUCUGACGUAGUCGGAGCCGAGGAGACAAUGACGAUAGUAUCGCGAGGAGAACUGGCCGGGAUUGGCCAGACGCGGUGGUGGCAAACGGAUUGGGGAAGAACUUAGGUCUAAACUACUGUAACAGUAGUAGUUAUUUUCA